Molecule: unclassified non-coding RNA, 315 nt
Filed under: plant metagenome
Description: partial contains 5.8S ribosomal RNA, internal transcribed spacer 2, and large subunit ribosomal RNA
Rfam family: 5.8S ribosomal RNA (bases 1-105)
Source: RNAcentral
AAAAUGCGAUAAGUAAUGUGAAUUGCAGAAUUCAGUGAAUCAUCGAAUCUUUGAACGCACAUUGCGCCCGCCAGUAUUCUGGCGGGCAUGCCUGUUCGAGCGUCAUUUCAACCCUCAAGCCCCCGGGUUUGGUGUUGGGGAUCGGGCUGCGGUUCUACCGCGUCCCGGCCCCGAAAUCUAGUGGCGGUCUCGCUGCAGCCUCCAUUGCGUAUUAGCUAACACCUCGCAACUGGAACGCGGCGCGGCCAAGCCGUUAAACCCCCAACUUCUGAAUGUUGACCUCGGAUCAGGUAGGAAUACCCGCUGAACUUAAGC